This 430-nucleotide ribosomal RNA is filed under the name Capnocytophaga sp. oral taxon 329. Its description in RNAcentral is "bacterial SSU rRNA". It matches the Rfam family "Bacterial small subunit ribosomal RNA", at positions 28 to 464 of the family's 1533-position model. The record is from RNAcentral. Lineage: Bacteria; Pseudomonadati; Bacteroidota; Flavobacteriia; Flavobacteriales; Flavobacteriaceae.
GAUGAACGCUAGCGGCAGGCCUAACACAUGCAAGUCGAGGGAGGAGCUUUCGGGCUUCGACCGGCGUACGGGUGCGUAACGCGUAUACAAUCUGCCUUUCACAUAGGGAUAGCCCGAAGAAAUUUGGAUUAAUACCUAAUGGUAUAUAGGGAUGGCAUCAUUUUUAUAUUAAAGCUGAGGCGGUGAAAGAUGAGUAUGCGUUCUAUUAGCUAGUUGGAGAGGUAACGGCUCCUCAAGGCUACGAUAGAUAGGGGUUCUGAGAGGGAUAUCCCCCACACUGGUACUGAGAUACGGACCAGACUCCUACGGGAGGCAGCAGUGAGGAAUAUUGGACAAUGGUCGGAAGACUGAUCCAGCCAUGCCGCGUGCAGGAAGACGGCCUUAUGGGUUGUAAACUGCUUUUGCAGGGGAAGAAUAAGGACUACGCGUA